ACUCCUACGGGAGGCAGCAGUGGGGAAUAUUGCACAAUGGGCGCAAGCCUGAUGCAGCCAUGCCGCGUGUAUGAAGAAGGCCUUCGGGUUGUAAAGUACUUUCAGCAGGGAGGAAGGCGACAAGGUUAAUAACCUUGUCGAUUGACGUUACCCGCAGAAGAAGCACCGGCUAACUCCGUGCCAGCAGCCGCGGUAAU
Molecule: ribosomal RNA, 197 nt
Filed under: uncultured Klebsiella sp.
Lineage: Bacteria; Pseudomonadati; Pseudomonadota; Gammaproteobacteria; Enterobacterales; Enterobacteriaceae
Description: partial 16S ribosomal RNA
Rfam family: Bacterial small subunit ribosomal RNA
Source: RNAcentral